AGUGAACGCUGGCGGUAGGCCUAACACAUGCAAGUCGAACGGCAGCACAGUAAGAGCUUGCUCUUACGGGUGGCGAGUGGCGGACGGGUGAGGAAUACAUCGGAAUCUACUUUUUCGUGGGGGAUAACGUAGGGAAACUUACGCUAAUACCGCAUACGACCUACGGGGGAAAGCAGGGGAUCUUCGGACCUUUCGCGAUUGAAUGAGCCGAUGUCGGAUUAGCUAGUUGGCGGGGUAAAGGCCCACCAAGGCGACGAUCCGUAGCUGGUCUGAGAGGAUGAUCAGCCACACUGGAACUGAGACACGGCCCAGACUCCUACGGGAGGCAGCAGUGGGGAAUAUUGGACAAUGGGCGCAAGCCUGAUCCAGCCAUACCGCGUGGGUGAAGAAGGCCUUCGGGUUGUAAAGCCCUUUUGUUGGGAAAGAAAAGCAGCAGGUUAAUACCCCGCUGUUCUGACGGUACCCAAAGAAUAAGCACCGGCUAACUUCGUG
This 492-nucleotide ribosomal RNA is filed under the name uncultured bacterium. RNAcentral's name for it is "partial 16S ribosomal RNA". It matches the Rfam family "Bacterial small subunit ribosomal RNA", at positions 29 to 507 of the family's 1533-position model. The record is from RNAcentral.